UACGUAGGGUGCGAGCGUUGUCCGGAAUUAUUGGGCGUAAAGAGCUCGUAGGCGGCUUGUCGCGUCGGAUGUGAAAGCCCGGGGCUUAACUCCGGGUCUGCAUUCGAUACGGGCAGGCUAGAGUUCGGUAGGGGAGAUCGGAAUUCCUGGUGUAGCGGUGAAAUGCGCAGAUAUCAGGAGGAACACCGGUGGCGAAGGCGGAUCUCUGGGCCGAUACUGACGCUGAGGCGCGACAGCGUGGGGAGCAAACAGG
Molecule: ribosomal RNA, 253 nt
Filed under: uncultured bacterium
Lineage: Bacteria
Description: partial 16S ribosomal RNA
Rfam family: Bacterial small subunit ribosomal RNA
Source: RNAcentral